This 301-nucleotide ribosomal RNA is filed under the name uncultured bacterium. RNAcentral's name for it is "partial 16S ribosomal RNA". It matches the Rfam family "Bacterial small subunit ribosomal RNA", at positions 509 to 807 of the family's 1533-position model. The record is from RNAcentral.
CAGUCGCCGCGGUAAUACGUAGGGUGCAAGCGUUAAUCGGAAUUACUGGGCGUAAAGCGUGCGCAGGCGGUUGUAUAAGUCAGAUGUGAAAUCCCCGGGCUCAACCUGGGAACUGCAUUUGAGACUGUAUGGCUAGAGUGUGUCAGAGGGGGGUAGGAUUCCACGUGUAGCAGUGAAAUGCGUAGAUAUGUGGAGGAAUACCGAUGGCGAAGGCAGCCCCCUGGGAUAACACUGACGCUCAUGCACGAAAGCGUGGGGAGCAAACAGGAUUAGAUACCCGUGUAGUCCCUGUCUCUUAUAC